This 1059-nucleotide long non-coding RNA is filed under the name Lathyrus oleraceus (garden pea). RNAcentral's name for it is "Pisum sativum (pea) long non-coding RNA (PSAT_LNC035053)". Lineage: Eukaryota; Viridiplantae; Streptophyta; Magnoliopsida; Fabales; Fabaceae. The record is from RNAcentral.
AAAAAACUGAAAAACAACUAAUCAAAUUACUAAGUUCAAAGCUUUAUCCAGAGGAUUAAUUGGAACAUCUGAAAAGGCAUUGCAACAAUGGCUUAAAUAAGAACAAAUCAAAUCCCACAUAAUCUGGGAUGAGACAAAUUGAAAAAAAAAGAGUUUUUUAAAACUGAUAAAAAUUCUUCAUAAAACGUUCAUGAGGCGUUAAGAAGGAUACACAGUAAGAGAUUUCUUCUCAAAAGCCAAAACCACAACAACAACAGAAAAUCAACUUUUUCUCAAAAAGCCUAAAGAACAACACAUCACAAUAAGAGAUUUCUCCUAAAAAACCUGAACCACAAAAAUAACAGCAAAAGCAACUUUUUUUUCUCAAAAAGCCUAAAGAAUAACAUAAACACAACAGAGUUCUUUUCAAAGAAACAAGAACAGCAACCGCACGACAAAGUUAUUUUUUUUCAAAAACCUAAAAGAACAUAACAACAACAACAUCGAACGACAACAACAUAUACACACCACUGCGAUCAAAGAAGUGGAUGAGGCGAAGCUAGUAACGACGAGAAACAAAGCAGAAACGAGAGGGAAGGUAAACUUAUCUUUGGUCGCCGGAAAGCACGUCAGACGAGAAACAAAGCAGAAACGAGAGGGAAGGUAAACUUAUCUUUGGUCGCCGGAAAGCACGUCACCGAACGAACUCCGGUCAGGUAGAUUUCUUCACGCCUUGACUAAUCCAGUGCACUUUUGUAUCCUCCUGUUUACGCUGAUUGAAACCCCUAACGUCUGGGUUUGAAAUAACGCUCCAUCACCACCUAAUUUAGGGUUUUACUUUAGGGUUUUGAUCGAUACGCCUCUUAGACCGCUCACGCCUUGUCGAUUUAUGCCGAAUCCUUGGCCUAAUCGCUCUGAGCUAGCUUGGCUGAUAUUAUUAUUCGAUUCUAGGGUUCGGUUUGGGGACCCCGAUUCAUGCAUUUGAGAUGAAGUAAUGAGGGAUUUGAGUUUGGAUUCAUACUUAGGAGAGUGUUUUAAUGGAGAAGAUGGAGUUUUGGUUUUGUUCGCCAAAGUAGAGGG